UUAAUUCCUAGGCUGAUAACCAUUCAGAUCACUCAGAAAUCUCGAACAUGUUCAUCAAAAUACAGAGCAGAAAUAAUAGUAAGAAAAAUAGGAAAAAAAUCACUUACCGAGCUCUCCUAUGAGUGAACGGUUGUGAAAGGAGUAGCCGAACCUUCAAACAGAGUCCUCGGAAUGGUAUACUCUUCAGAUUUGAGGGGAAAACCUCGCUUUUAUCUCUGGAGGUGAGACAUCUCUGAAACCGUACGAAUCUCUACAAGAAUGAAGCGAAUCUGCCGUAUGGGUUCACGAGAUGAAAAGUAGAUCGACCAGUCUAGGGUUCACGAGAUGAAGAUGGGGAAGGAUUCGUACGGUUUCAGAGACAGAGGAGGUUCAAUUUCUGCCGCUCCUUGCGUUCUUCGCAGGCGAAUCUUGACUUCUUCUGGAUGACUGUGUUCUUCCCUAAACCCUAGGGUUCACGAGGAAGACGAAGGAGAAGGGAGGCAUACUGUUGAAGAGGGUGACGAGGAAGGUGUUCCACCAACGAGAUGAAGAAGGGCCGUAUUUGCAGAGCUCCCCGUGGUCGGGUACGCAGGAGAAGCAGUGAAGCUUCAACGUUUGAAGAGGAAGGGGGGUGUCGAUCUUCGAAUGAACAGCAUAAAUUUUCAUAGGUUUGUAGUUGGUGUGUCGAUCGAUUGUUUGUGCCCCUUUUUUGUUUCGAGAAACAAGCGAAACAAGUAAAACUUGUUUCGUCAUUCAUGUUUCUUGAAGCAUAAAUUGUUAUAAAUUUCAAUUUAUGUUUCAAGAAACAAGUGGAACAGAACACUUUUACCUAAUGGUAUUUAUGCCGUUUCUUUGUUUCUGAGAACAAGAAAACACAGAAACACGUUUUUGGUUACGUUAUCAAACGGGCUCUUAGAUCUACAAUUUGACAAUGUUUGGAGGAUAUCCAAGAUGUUUUAGGUGCUUCUUGUGCUAUUGAUGUUUGCGACCGUGUAAAUUGCCUGUGAAUGUCUGACCUUAAACUUUUGGUUCAUUCAUGGGAAGUAGACUUGUCUAAUUUGACUUUUGUGUCUUCUUGACAGUGGGCUGUUGGCGUCUGAAAUACAUCAUUUUACAUACUUGACCCUUUAUUCAGCGUUAUUUUUCUUAUCAAUGUCCUUCUUAAUGCACUUUUCCACUCGCACGGUCCUGCACAACACACAUAUUAGAACUGGCCCGGAGGGAGCUUUGGGAAAGAGGCUUGGAUGCCUAAAUCAGGUCAUAGAUAAUCAAAAGAGAUGGGGAACAUAGAGUCAUGAGUCUGUUGAGUGUCUUACCUUUAAAAUCCAUUAAGUAGCCUUUAUAUAGAAGUUGAUGUCCUCCUUCAUUGCUAACAUGGAUCAUUUUCUUCUUGAUGAGCUUGUCACUCUCUUAAGCUGAGUUGGCCGAUCUUGUAACGGUUAACCGGACCAUAGUCAGUCUUUACAACGGCUAACUCAACCGUAGUUGACCCAUAGUUAAAUAACUGCCUAACCUAUGCCUGGUUAAGUAAACUAGGCGUGGUUAGGCUCAGAGACGGUUAUGGAUGUCACCAUCCUAUGAUGAGGUGUAUAGGUCUAGGUCCCACAUGGAUGAUUAAUACCUCACAUGGGGAUGAGGUAUAAGAUAAGGGCAUGAGGUCAGCUUGUCAGGUGUUGUGAGUGCACGUGAUCGAGAUAAAUGGUUCAGAAUAGGUUCUUCCUCUGUUGAUCCUCUUCAUAUUUUGCCUGGUGGAUCAAGGACGGAUAAAAUAGGGCUGAUCAGUAAUUGGUGUGUACCAUAAUGGCCUAUCAGUCCUAAUGAAGGAUCAUUGAUCUACCUUUAGGUGCCGCCUAGGAGUCAACCCCCAAAUUUUGUGCAUUCCUAGCUGUUAUCCUAGCUGUUAUCUUUCUUUUGUGGCUGAGCUAGGGGUGCACCAGGCUUCUUAAAACCCUAGCCCAACCUUGAGUCCCCUUAACGGGCCCCAAACUCACCCUGACCCUGAAUCUGAUUCAGACUCAAACUCAGACUCAGGGCCACAAAACUUCAACCCAGGCCCAACCCUUCAGGGUUCAGCCUAACCCUUACCCGCCCUGAUUGACCCUGAUUUUUCAGGGUCGGGUCGGGAUGACCCUGAUUGGCCCUAACCCUGACCCUGGUUUGCCAUCAAGGGCCAGAUAUACCCUGACUCUGACCUGGCAAAAUAUGAAAAAACUAAAAAAUAAAAAAAUAUUCAUAAUAAAGAGGAGAUAAAAAACACAAAGUCACAAAUUACUCGUCAUGAGGAGAACAUCCUAAAGCAAACAUUGAAACAAUAUAAAUAACUCUAACUAUUAUGGUAAACAAAGAGGAGAUCAUCCAAAGAAACCAAAUAAUCCAAAAAAUUUCAAUUAUUUGUCAUAAUAACAAAGAGAUCGUCCAUCUUAAUAAGGCAAACAAUCCAAAGAUCUCAAAACCCUUGUCAUGUUAAACAAAGAGGAGAACAUCCUAAGAAAACAAAAACCCAAAGUCAACAUUAGGGGCAAAAACCAGGGCCUGGUAGGGCCAAAACCAAGGCUAAACUCAGGGUAAAAAAUCAGGGCCGGGUUCAGGGCGGGUUGGGCGGGCCAAAGACAUCAACCCUUACCCGCCCUUGCCCUGACCCUGACCCUGACCCUGACCCUGACCCUGACCCUGACCCUGACUCAGGGUCAGGCUGGCCCUCAGGGCCAAAUUUUCGGGUUGAUACUUGUUCAAGAUCAGGGCGGGCCAAAGCGCGGGUUCGGGCCGUCAAGGCCAAACUUGCACCCUUAGGCUGAGCUGGACCUGAAAUUUUGAACUUUAACCUUUAAUCUUGUGGUGGCCAUGUAGUGUGAACCGAUUGAGCUAUGGCCUAUGGACAUGGAACUGUUAUUUGUUCCAAUGAAAUUUUGAUGGACAUCCUUUUGGAGCAGAGAAAGCAAAUGAAGAAAAUUGUGCUGCAUGAAUUCAUCAAUAAUAAUUUUACAGGAUUAUCGCUUUAUUCAAGAAUUUUUUAUUAUGGCUAAUCACCCAAUGGGUAUGUAGUUGUCAAGGGUGAUUCAUAGUUGAUGUUGCUCAAUGCCCAAUGUAACUGAUUGAGGCAGAUUAUUGAUUGAUAAAUCAUAGAAUUGCUGCAUCUUAGAAUCCUACCUGACUCGAAUUAAUGCAUUAGUAUGCCUAGAGUUAUCAGUUUCCUGUAAGUUCUCUGGCUGCUUUGGUGCAUGUUGCACUUUACAUUCAAAGCCUUUAUUGCUCAUUGUAGUAUAUUCAGUUACCACACUAUGCUGUUGAAGUAUGUUCGAUCAGAAUGACCUUUAUUGAUAUUGCACAACGUCUAGACUUGGGAUUUUUAUAUGAUUUUUAUUUGUAAGGUAUUUCCAUGUUGAUUUACCUUUGCUAAACCAGUUAGGCCAUAACUUUGGAUACUAACCAGGUUUUGCUUUUUUGAGAAUUGGGCAGAUACCUGCAAUAUCUGGGUCAUGAAGUCAAUUAUGUGCGGAACUUUACUGAUGUUGAUGACAAGGUAUUCAGAUCUGCAAGUGGAAGAGGAGAGGACCGACCAGCUGCCCACUAGCCGUGACCAACCACACGUAGCAGCCAUGGGUGUUGGCCCUUGAGGGCUGGCUGCAGCAGCCUGCCUUGGGGCUAUUUGUGGUUUCAGAUUUGAGCAGAUCAGAUUUUCAGAUCUGAAAUCAUUUCAGAAAGAAAAAAAAAAAGAAAAAAGAAAGAGAGAGAGAUGAGAAGGGUCAACAAGAAGGGGGAGGAGAAGGGAAAGGGAGGAUGAGAGGGAAAGAAGUUGCAGCAAACCACAAAAGAGAAAGUGAAGAAAGGGAGUUAUGAGGAAGAUGGGUGAAGGGGACAUCCCUUCACUCAUUUUUUUAAAAACCCAUUUUACACAUAGGGAUACCAAAUCUAUUUCUCACAAAAAACCAUUUUUGUCAAGUAAUUACCAAACCAUUUUUAUGUUUUGAUAAAAAAUGGUUUUCAUUAAUGCUUUUUGUGAAAUAGACAAAAAUCAAAAAGAAAAAUGAUACCAAAGAGGGCCUUACCUCAUGAGGUUUUGUUUUCUUGCCACAUGGUACACACUUGGAUGUGAGAGAGGAGGCCCCACACCCUUCACAUUGGUCAAAUGUCAGUCUAAAACAAGAAUUGAACUAAUAAAGAAGUGAGCUUGGUAAUAUUCUUAUCUCUACCCGUAUCUUAGUUCAUUCUGAUUGGAGAACAGAGUGUAAGAUCUGUCACCUGAUGGGAAUCAUUUCAGUUGAGUAUAUUUCUGAUGGGUAGGAAGGAGGAGAUUGGAGAUGAUGAUCUGGUUGAUAAAAAAACCCCAUCUUUUGUAGUGAUCAAUGGGAAUAGAAAUGUCUAACUCCUUGUCUUUAUUUUCAAUUUUCGUCUUCUUCUUUUUCAUUUUUAUUGGGUUUUGAAAUUUUAUUUGUCUGAUUAAAUAGGACUCUGUCGCUGGAAAGUCAAGAGGUGCAUAACGAGAGUAUUGAAGUCUGAUUGUUGGCAGCUAAAAAAUAAUUUUGAUCGCUAAGCCAGAAUGACCACCAAUACAAGAUUUACAACUAAGCUCCUAACUGAUGAUUUGGAAUCACACCCUUCCAUUAAUUAGUAAAUGAGGGCAGGUCACCCUUCUCGAAAAAAAAUUGAGGGCAGGCCAUGAGUCAUUGGUUUGACCAGAAUAUAAUGGAUUAGAUUGGACAAAAAACAGACCAUACAUUUACUUUUGAGUUUCCAAUGGGUUGUAUGAGCCAUGGGCCUGGUAUUUUUGGGUUUACUAUUGUAAUGGGCCAAUUCUAUAAUCCCAAAUAUGAGGGAUUUGAAUCCUAUACGGGAUUAGUAUUAGUUUUUAUCUUGUUGAGUUCUAAAAGAGUUUCUAUUUUUUGGAAAACUUAGGCUGUAAAGGGAUUCCGCCUUCCACACUUUUUGGGGGGUGGGGGGUGGUUCCUAUUUUGCUUAUUUAUAUGAAGUACUAAAUAAAGAGGAGGGGAUCGUACUUGAUGUAGAGCGAGCUAUCAAAAAGGGGGUGCAAAGCUGGUUUGAAUACUGGCCUAAUUCUGUCCAUCAAGCCAGCACAGAACUGGAUCAGUUUUACAGCAGCUUUAGUUCCUUGUUUCUCCAUUGGGCAGCAGAUCCAUCUCCCGAUUUUGUCCUAGUAAGCAAGCUGCAAUGAGCUUGGGACAACCUUCUAGAAGCCCUACAGUCUUAUACAUAGAUGAGCUGUACUUCUGUUCUUUUGAGUGGCUUUAGGCAGCAAGAAGGUGGCCCAUCGAUCUCUACAACAGCUGGGAUUUAAUUAGUUCUUUGUUUCUAUUUUUAUUUGUUAGUAGUUAUAUUUGUUUCCUUUUAGUAGUCUUAGUUAGUUUCCUUUUAUUGAUUCCUUGUUAAACAAAUUAGUUAGUUGUUUAUGUUCUUGCCAAGCAAGGAAGUCAGGUUAGGAAGCUAGUAACUAGUUAGUAACCUAUUUUAGUUAUUUCCAAAUUGUAAUUCAGUUGGAGAGCCUGUAUAGAGGUAUGGAUUGAUUGUAAUAGUUUAGAUUUGAAUUAAUGAAUUGUGAGUUUUACUCCAUGGAUGAGAAAGUCCAAGAUUCUGAGAGGGUGAGAUGCCCAACAAAUUGAGAGGGUGAAAUGCCUAGGGGAAGGUGAGAGGCCUAACCCAAAACUACCUUUCCUUUCUCCCUUGUCACCCUUCCAACCGAUUCUGUUUCUUCUUUAUUUCCCUAUUUCUUUUAAAGGUUGUUAUUCAGUUUUAAAUUUCAGUUACUGAUAUUGGUACAAGCUCCAACUGCAACAAGGAAGAGCUUCUUGGGUUGGGAACUUAUUCCCCUAUCAAUCAGCCCCGUGGCCAAUCCUUUGCAGGCUUUUUUGGCUGAUAGGGGAAUCGGUUCCAAACUCAAGAAGCUAUCCCUUUUUUUUUGUUGUUUAAGCCCCAAAAUAGACCUUCGAUCAGGAGAUUAAGGGCCAUUCAAGACCUGCUACUGUUUCUGUUAUCUGGGUGGUUUUAUCAAGACUUGCAAUAGUCCUAAUCUAAGUAAUUUUCUGGGUAACUUCUAGACGCAUAUAAUGUAGUACUAAAUUUGAAAGAAUCAAAAUAGUAUCCAGUUGACAAGGAUCUAUACUCAAAGGAUGGUCCAGAUGCAAAUAAUGAAGUGAAAUAUGACAUCAACUAGGGAGGGGGAAAAAAACAAUAUCCGUGAGGGCAAAACAGUAAUUUUCAGCUCAAAUUAAGGUCAGAAAUUAGGGUAGUAAAGCACAAACAAUCUUUGAUUUCAAUAGUUAACUUGAAUUAACAAAUGGAAGCAAAACAGUAACUAUUUGAACACAAAACAAUAACCUCUUUUAGAUCUUGAGAAGGGAAGGGCAGAAUUGAUAUUUUGCAAAUAUCUAAAGAUCAAGCCAUUAGAAAGGCCCCAUAUUUGAAUUGGUCUCCAAAUUAGGGUUCUUGAAUGCCUAGUCAAAAUUUAAGUUCAAUCAGAUGGCUGGAUUGCUUAAUCCAAAAAAGCGUGUGACAUCCAACCUUCUAGAAGAUGGAGUUCUUCUUCAGGUUGAGUUUUUCCCUUGAGAUGUCCAACAAAAUCCCAAAAGGAUCCUUCAAUCAUGUUGCAGGAUAUGGAGAUCCACGGAUGCACUUACUGAUCUUGAAAGAAGGAAACUAGAAGAAGCUUUUGGAUCAGAGGAUGGGAGUUACUGCUGGGCACCAAACCUUGGUCAAAGCUUCCUCUGGUGUGCCAGAAAAAAACCCCAAAGGGGGCCCUUAAUCUGAGUUGAGGUUGGAGAGAUUCCGCCUAGGAAAUAUUCCUGUAGAAAAUUCUUCUCAGCAAUAAAUAAAUCUGGAAAACUGGGACAGUUAUGAGGUCUGAAUAUGAAUGGAAGUUAUGGACUGUUGAGUGAAAUAGGGAAGAUGGAAAAGGGGUUUGAUGGGUGCUGAGGGAGAGUGGUUGGACUGUCUCAGUCCUUGGGUCUCUCUCAUCCUCAGCUUCUCAACUGAUGUAUCCUUCUUAGGGAAUAAGUUGCAACAGCAAGUAAUGUAUUCUUUAUUCAUACCUUGGGUCUCUCACCCUCAGUCUUCUUACUUGUUGGAUGAAAAAGAUGGUGAAAGAAUAAUAAAGGAAGAAGAAGUAUGGAGAUGGGAUAGAUGUGGGUGGGAUGGUGUGAUUGCUAUCUCAUCCUAGGCCUCUCACCCACAACUAUUUCAGCUAUUGAAGAAUUCUUUCUCAAAAUUUUGGAAGCACAAAGCUGCAAUUUCAUUAAUAAUUUCAUGUUCAAUGCUGUAGCCCUUUUCAAACUCAUAUAGAAGAUUUAAAAUAGACUCAAACACCAAAAAGGAAAGGCCUAACCCAAUCCUUUAACUAAUUAGGAAAACCUAAACUGACUAGAAAACUAAAAUAACAUAGAAAAUGGACUCAAAAUAGGACUCUAACUAAAUGAAUUAAUUCCUACUUUCUACCCAUAUUUUAGGUUCAUUAAAGUGGCUUAUUACAGAGAAAACCCAUGGGAUCAAAGGCCCAACACCUAUAUACCCAACCCAAGGCCUAUUUCCAAUAAAAUAAGCCCAUUAAGUGACUUAUUUGCAUUAAGUGUCCACCACUUAAAAUAACUCGACCUCGAGUUUUGAACAUGAGAACGACCACAUUGGUGUGAUGAAGGUUAAGCUGCAGUCCAUAGUAAAACUCAGGAAAUUCUUUGAUGACAUGAAUGUAGUCUAGAAUGUGAAGGGCACGAUCUUCUAGAUUCUUCAAUGGGAUGAUGAACUCCACAUGCGCAACCUUAACAUUGUUGGAUGCAUCCAUAGGGUCAUCUUUAGUACAUCUUCUACCUUCUCAAACUUAAACUUGAGCUCCUUAAGUUCUUCGUUCUUGUCGUUCAUAGUCUCCUCAAUGGUUUCUUCAACCAUUGGUUCAUCUUGAACCCCAUAGGAUCUUCCUCUUGGUUAUUCACACUCAUCAUAGUUGUAGUGCCAAUCUCCUCGGGCUCGACCUCAUUGUCCACCAUUACGACCAUGUUGCUUUCGACCUCUUCAUCAAAAUUUCACUGGUUUGGAACAUCAAGGACUAACUCUUCCUUAACAUUAGGAAUGACUGGAAUUUCUUCCACACUAACCUUAACCUCAGGUUCUGGUGCUUUGGUUGGAGGUGUCUUCUCUUGUUGCUCCUUUGCAUAUUUUUGCACAAGAGCGGCCAAGUGGUCUACCAAUUGUUUCAAACUCUUGUCACCUGUGGGUGUCUUUUGGAGACCUGUAGAUGUCUUCUGCAAGGUUAUUAAGGCGGUGAGGCGACCGGGGUCAUUUGGAGUGCUUUGGCGAUAGGGCGGGCAUAAGAUGCCGCCUUAUUGAAUAAAGCGUUCUUGUGUUAUUUUUUUAUACAGCUAUUCUAUUUGACUCAAAUCCUAGUUGAAUCCUAUUACUCAUAUGCUAAGUAAAGAUUAAAGGUUCGUACUUUAUACCAAUGCAAUAAUACAUAAGCCAAUCUGGUUUUCCAAAUGAAUGGAAGGCACUAGGCAAUAAUAAAGAGCUGCAUAUAAGUCUAUAAACAUAGUCAUCCAAUUUGGUUUUCCAAAGAACAUGGCAGACAAUAAUAGACAACAACCAUAACUUUAUCUCAACUUGAUGGGGUCGGCUACAUGGAUCCGAUAAGGUCUAAGAUGCAUGUAAGCAUAAGCAUAUUCAUUCUAAAAAGAGGUAAAAAAGGGUAAAAGGAGGUAAAAAGAAGAAGUUAAAGCAGUAGUCAAAGCAGCAUCCUUGGAACAUCCCCUAUAAGGGGUCGGCUACACGGGUCCUUGUCCUCCACUUACCUCUAUCCGCGGUCAUACUAAUAUCGAUCCUUACUAGCAACAUAUCUUUUCUUACCACUUUGUCAAUGGUCAUUUUAGGUUUGCCUCUCCUUCUAGCUCCAUGUAAUUGAAACUGGUCAUACUUCCUUAUUGGGGCAUCAAUGGGUCUCCGUUGAACAUGGCCAUACCACCUCAAUCGGCUCUCGCGGAGCUUAUCCUGGAUUGGAGCCACCCUUAACUAUUUUCUAAUACAAUCAUUCUCUACUUUUUUUCUCCGGGUCUUUCUACACAUCCCUCUCAACAUCCUCAUCUCUGUUACACCCAAUUUAUUCAAAUUACUCUUCUUGAUUGCCCAACACUGUGCCCCAUACAUCAUCGCUAGUUGUGUUAUUGUCUUGUAGAAUUUUCUGUUGAGUUUAACAGGCAUGUGUUUAUCACAUAGCACUCCUGAGACACUUCUCCACUUCACCCAUUGCUGGUUGCAGUCCUGGCCUGUAGAUAGAGGCUUGCAUUAUUUGCUUUCUUUUUGUAACAUUUUGUUGAUUGAUGUACCAUUUUUUUGCUUAAUUUUUUUUUUUUUACAGGAACUGUAUAUUCACAAUGGAACCCAGUAUUGUGGUUUCAAUAAAUGAAGAUAUAAUGGGAAAUAUUCUUUUUCGGCUACCAGUGAAAGUACUUUCAAGAUUUGAGUGUGUCAGCAAACAAUGGAACAAUUUUCUUUCCAGUCCUCAUUUUGUUACUUCACACCAAGCUAGGCUGACCCAAAAUACUGACUUUAUGCAAGUUCUUAGGCUAGAUACAGAUGCAUUUUUUAGGUUAUGUAUAAUCAAGGAACAACAGGAACAGAGGAUUGUGACAUGUGUUUCAAUUCGGCCAGAUUUACCCGAUGGAUUCCUAUGGCAUAUUCAUAUUGAAAUGAGAGGGAGACCUUGUAAUGGGUUGAUUUGCCUUCAUAAUUCUGCUGAUGGAAGAACUUUGGUAUGGAACCCAGCAACUCUGAAGACUAUGGAAAUCCCUGCACAAGCAUCUUGUUAUGUGGAAGGACUUGGAUUUAAUUCCUAAAGCCUUGAAUUCAAAGUAAUCCGCAUAUUUUUGAGGGUGGUCUAUAGUACGUUUGCCCCUAAGAGCAGGUUUGAGUGUGAGUUAUUUACCAUACCUCAAGGAGGAGCCCAGGCAUCAUAGAGAAAUAUAGGAAAGCUCCCUUGUAAAAUUCAACAAUAUGGUAGUUCAACCAUGUGUUUUGUAAAUGGGAGUGCCAACUGGAUGGUUUAUCCUGAACUGUAUAGCGGCGCCCACUCAAUAAUUCCGCGUGAAUUGGAAUCCAUUGCUUUCAUUCUUUCUCUGGAUCUUGAGCUUGAAGAGUUCAAAGUACUUCCAUUCCUAGAGCAUUGGGCAAAUGAUGCAAACAAUUACAAGCAUUUGUCUCUCAAUUUGUUGGGAGACGAGUUAUGUGUUCUAGAUCAUGUUGAUGGAAGUUCACUAAUAGAUUUCUGGGUGCUCAAGGACUAUACUAAUAGCAUUUGGAUUAUGAUUUAUCAAAUUGAUCUGCAAACCACUGACUUUGUGCCGAUUAUGGGUAAUUUUUCUAUAGUUUCCGAAUGCAUGGGGCAAUUGCUUCUCCAAAUUUUUAAUAUGAUUAGGAAUGCUGAUUUUGCGAGUGCUACGACGUUGAGGUCGUGUUAUUAUGAUCCGAGAACAGAUUCAUAUGAAGAAAUCUUCGCACAUUAUGUGAAUUUUACUGGUUAUACUCUUAGAGGACUUGGCACAUAUGUUGAGUAUCUUGGUACUCCAUUCUGAUUGGAAAAGUGUUAAGGUGAACAUUACUUUCAUAGCCUGUGAAAUUGAUUUUGUCCAUGCAAGUCAAAUAGUUGCUAUAUGGUAGCUUCCAAGAGUAUUAAACCUGUUAAUAUCACCAUCUACUUAUUUUUAAAAUUUCAAAUCCAAAAUUUCUUGUUCUUUAUAUAUGGCAUUUUGAAGCUUUCACGAAAUAAUGAUAGUAUGUAGUGGGAUCAAAAUGGGGCUUCUAUUUCCUUGUUAGUAUGUGGGUUUUAAAUGGUUGACACUCCAAAGUAAUUUGGCCUUGUAGAUGUUUGCUGUUUUACUUGUGCAAGUUUUUUUAUUUUUGGCAUGCAUGGUAGUUCUGGUCAGCAGCAUUGAUAGAUAAUCAAUUUUUGGUGUGUGGUUUCAUAGUUUACCAAUCAAUUCUGAAGCAUACUCCUAUCUUUACCCCCCUUUUUCCAUUUUGUUGUCAGUAUUAAUAUGCAGGCUAUUUGUUUGUGAUGCUUUUGUGAAGUUGAUGUUUGAUUUGGAUUUCCCAAAAAAAUAAAUGAUUUUUCAGUUUGCAGUCAAAUCAUGCGUUGUUAGUGUUUUCAUAUGUAAUGCAUCUUUAUUAGUUAGGUUCAGAAUGAAAUUGUUGACUCUAAAAGGGAAGAUUACUUCAAAUUUGGUAUAAAUUUGUGGUGAUAUUGCAAAUGGAUAUUCAAAUUCUAAAACCUCUAAGUGGGAAGAAGUUACACUUCUUAGGUAUAGUUUGGACAUUGCGUUUUGAGAGGGUUGAGGUUCAAAGUCUCGUCCCUUUUCUUUGUUGGUCAAAUAGGAUUCAUUUCUUGAGAGAAAUGUCGGUACUGUAAGUUAGAAACAUGAAUUUACUUGGGUUUUGAGUAGCCAAGGAUAUAUGCUAUGACAUAAACUUGGUGAAGCACACCUUACUCCUUAGAAGAUAAAGUAAUAUACAUUUUUUUUCUCAGGGGUUUAAUUCGGUAACUUUUUUAUUUCAGAGAUAUUCCUUUGCUGGUUUAUAUGAAACUUCUGGAAAUGGGAAGCACUAAUAUACAUAGGAAUUAUUAGUUAAGAGAGGGAGCAUACCAUGUACCAAAAAACUCAAUGCAUACCAUCGGACUUGUUUUGAUAGCUAAACUAUGACGAACUCUGGAGAGAACUUAGAGGCAUGAUGGAACAAAUUUUAUGCCAUGGCCCAAAUGUUGUUUCUGCUUAACAUGUUGCCUCCUGGGAUCCAAUCAAUAUAUCCAGUUAUCUACUGCAUUCACAAAUCUUCUUUGGGUCAACAUGAUCUAGGUCACUGCUAGUUUUAUAUCCAUGGCAUUGUUGAUAUAUUGGGGAUUUUUUUUCUUUUCAUUUUCUUACGAUCGGACCCUGUUGGCAUGUGUGUUCUGUGGACAAACCCCUUUUGCAUAUAAACAAUGUUGAGAUCAUUACAGUAUUAUCUGUAUUCAUAAUUAGCAUGUUUUUGUGGGAACAAAAUUUGGUUGUGUAGGAGAUGGUGGAAGGAACAGCAAGGAGAAUUCUUCUCAGGGGCUCCAAGCAGCAUUGCCAAAGAUGGUAGAUUCUACUGAGUUGCUACACUUUUUGACAAGGAUGGUAGUUUAUAGUUGUGGGAUCGUUUCUUUGUUUUGUUGGGACAUUUGUUUGGGAUCGUUUCUUUGUUUUGUUGGACAUUUAUUUUGUGGCACUUCUGACUGAAUCGUGGAAUGUUUUGAGGGAUGAUUGCAUUUCCUUAGUGAAAGCCCUAGCUAUGAAAGCUGAAACUGAGAGGACAUUUGUUCGGGAUUGUUUCUUUGUUUUGUUGGACAUUUGUCGUGGCACUUCUAACUGGAUCGUGGAAUGUUUUGAGGGAUGAUUGUAUUUCUUUAGUGAAAGACCUAGCUGUGAAAGCUGAAAUUGAGAGGAUAUUUGUUCGGGAUCGUUUCUUUGUUUUGUUGGACAUUUGUUGUGGCACUUCUGACUGAAUCGUGGAAUGUGUUGAGGGAUGAUUGUAUUUCCUUAGUGAAAGCUCUAGCUAUGAAAGCUAAAAUUGAGAGAACAUUUGUUCGGGAUCAUUUCUUUGUUUUGUUAGACAUUUGUUUGGCACUUCUGACUGAAUCGUGGAAUGUUUUGAGGGAUGAUUGCAUUUCCUUAGUGAAAUCCCUAGCUAUGAAAGCUGAAACUGAGAGAACAUUUGUUCGGGAUCGUUUCUUUGUUUUGUUGGACAUUUGUUUUGUGGCACUUCUGACUGAAUCAUGGAAUGUUUUGAAGGAUGAUUGUAUUUCCUUAGUGAAAGCCCUAGCCAUGAAAGCUGAAACUGAGAGGACAUUUGUUCGGGAUCGUUUCUUUGUUUUGUGGCACUUCUGACUGAAUUGUGGAAUGUUUUUUGAGGGAUGAUUGUAUUUCCUCAGUGAAAGCCCUAGCUAUAAAAGCUGAAACUGAGAAUUAGGCUGUCCUCAUUUGUGGGUUGUGGAGCUUAUUUGAAGUCUCUUGUAAAUUUCUUAAAAUUGUUGAUAUCAUAUCUCAUCAUUUUGAUCUCUUAUCUUUUUAUUUUGGUAGGAUUUUGAUCUCUUAUCACGGCACCAAUAUGCUAGGGGGCAUCUUUUAUAAUAUUUUUGGAUCACUGGCAUCUUUAUCAUAUUUUUGCGAACACACUUCUGCAGCAUUGAUGGAACCUGUCAAUUUGUUCUCUGUAUUGGCAAAUUUGAUCUGAACCAAUGUGACUUGCGUCCAUUUUGUUCUUUGUACUCUUUGGCCUUGGCUAUUAUUGGGCACAACUUCUACUCCUUUUAUUAUUAUUAUUAUUAUUAUUGUUUUAUUUCAUUUUUUCUGAUAUAGGCAGCUUCUACUCAUUUUACAGCUUAGCUGGAUUCAGCUGUGAUGUGCCAUGCAAUCCUCAACGCAUGGUGGUUCGUACUUUAGUUGCUUUUAUUAGAGUCAAUUUCAUAUUUUAGUCUUCUGCAUAUGGACAGUUUAAAGUUUAAACGAGAGUUUAGGCAAAUCGACUUAGUGCUGACCCAUUAAAAGAAAUAUUUGAAAUGGUAAAUGUGUAUUUGAUUCUUGUAAGCAGUUGAACCCACCGUUCUUACAUGUAUGCAAUGCAGUUAAUUACUUCAAGGUCUUAAAAUUUGGGAAAGAAGAAGAGGGUUAGUUCUUAGAUUAUUAGAGAUGGUUUUUGGUACUUACAACACUGAUCUUGCCGAUAGAUCAAGCAAACAAGAACAAUGGCAAAGCUACUCAUAUCCAUUACUUAAUGACAGUGCUUUCCCUCAUUCUCUACUCUCAUUACAUCUUGCAGGCUCUGCUUCCUCUUUUGAUCUUCUCAACUUCGUGCUUUCUUUGGUGGAGCCAUAAGUUACAUGGCGGGCUACGGAAGCAACUAUCCACAACAGGUUCACCAUAGGGGAUCCUCUAUCGUCUCAUUAAGGUUAAUCCCAGCUUCGUUAGCUGCCUUGAAAGAUAUAGUGUUGGAUUUAUGGGCUUAAAUUAAUUAUUAGACAAAUAGUUGGUGCCAGUGAUCCAAAUCUCUUAGUUGGUGCCAUCGUCAGCCUCCCUGAUGCCUAUGAUGACUUCGUCGAUUCACAGAGACAACCAUGAGCAAAUAUAGCCCACUACCUACAACAAUGCUCCCCUCCUUGGUGUCAAGAACAAUACAAAGCCAGGGGUUUGAACGGAUCAAAUGUUACAGGUGAGCCUAGAAAAUACGGAUUCCAAGUCAAGAAAGUAGAGGAACGAGUCAGAUGUAGGGUUCUCUUUGGGAUUCUGGAGAUGUUUGGGUUGAAGAUGAACAAGAGGAUAAAAUGUGGUCUUUAGAUUUACUUCUUUUGGUUAAGGGUGAAAUGGUCUUCUGGGAUUCCCAACAACAUACUAACAUAACACCAUUAAACGUAAGGGGCGUAAUUGCUAAAAAUACUGGUGUCCAGAUGCAAUAAGGCCAUAAUACAGGGGAGGGGGGCGACAUUUUCCCUAAAUAUAAAUAUUUUAUCAAAUUUAUUCGUUUAA
This is a long non-coding RNA of Macadamia integrifolia, 14507 nucleotides long. RefSeq lists it as uncharacterized. The transcript is spliced from 3 exons. The record is from RefSeq and is a predicted model, not a curated record. Lineage: Eukaryota; Viridiplantae; Streptophyta; Magnoliopsida; Proteales; Proteaceae.